UACAGAGGUCUCAAGCGUUGUUCGGAUUCAUUGGGCGUAAAGGGUGUGUAGGUGGCGCCGUAAGUCGGGUGUGAAAUUUCGGAGCUUUACUCCGAAACUGCAUUCGAUACUGCGGUGCUUGAGGACUGGAGAGGAGACUGGAAUUCAUGGUGUAGCAGUGAAAUGCGUAGAUAUUAGGAAGAACACCAGUGGCGAAGGCGGCUCACUGGCCCGGUACUGACGCUGAGGCGCGAAAGCGUGGGGAGCAAACAGG
This 253-nucleotide ribosomal RNA is filed under the name uncultured bacterium. RNAcentral describes it as "partial 16S ribosomal RNA". It matches the Rfam family "Bacterial small subunit ribosomal RNA", at positions 524 to 776 of the family's 1533-position model. The record is from RNAcentral.